RNAcentral lists this transfer-messenger RNA (364 nucleotides) under Hyphomicrobiales bacterium. It matches the Rfam family "Alphaproteobacteria transfer-messenger RNA". From Rfam's summary of the family: Bacterial tmRNA, also known as 10Sa RNA or SsrA, is named for its dual tRNA and mRNA-like properties. The record is from RNAcentral. RNAcentral also lists the same sequence under 5 other names. Lineage: Bacteria; Pseudomonadati; Pseudomonadota; Alphaproteobacteria; Hyphomicrobiales.
GCCUUUGAAUCGUCGCGGCUUUCAUCCUAUAUUGGGCGUGCCGGUUCGCCGGCUAUGGCAAUAAACGGGCGGUACAAUAAGCCAUUCGGACCCGGGGGCGGUACCCGGCGCCUCCACCAGGAACGCUGCUGCAGCCGAUCGCAGCGCUGCUGAUGGGGGCGAAACAGGAUCGACGAGGGUGUAAAAACCGUACUUUUGCCCGGCAUGAUACCACCGUUAUCGGGUCAAAUUGUUAGUUGCAAACGACAACUACGCAGAGGCACGUCUCGCUGCCUAAUGGCGGUGCGACAGCUUCACCUGAACUCCUAGCCGGUUUGCUCGGCUAGGCGGGGUCCGGAGGCACCUGGCAACAGAAGCCUCCACU